Molecule: ribosomal RNA, 571 nt
Filed under: Corallina officinalis
Lineage: Eukaryota; Rhodophyta; Florideophyceae; Corallinales; Corallinaceae
Description: eukaryotic LSU rRNA
Rfam family: Eukaryotic large subunit ribosomal RNA
Source: RNAcentral
AUGGAAAGCACUUUGAAAAGAGGGUGAAAAGCACCUGAAACCGCCAUGGGGGAAGCGGAUUGCAUCAGUGUUUGCUUGUAUCUGUUCAGCUAUCAUUUUUGGUAGUGUAUUCAGUGCUUGCUGUGUUGGCAUGGCUGCUUUGGCUUUGGAUUAUGCAAGGCUAAGUGGUGAGGGCUCCUUUCUAGUUUGAGGAUGUCAACAAAAUGAUGCGACCCGACCCGUCUUGAAACACGGACCAAGGAGUCUAGCACUACUGCAAGUCGAAGGGUUUAAAAACUCAUGGGCGAAGUGAAAGCGAAUAUUAGGAGAUCUGAUACAGAUUAGGGAGGUGUUGCGACUUUGUCAAAAUAUCCUACCCAGAGCAGUUGUGCUGGGACCCGAAAGAUGGUGAACUAUGCCGGAAUAGGGCAAAGCCAGAGGAAACUCUGGUGGAGGCUCGUAGCGAUGCUGACGUGCAAAUCGCUCGUCGAAUUUGGGUAUAGGGGCGAAAGACUAAUCGAACCAUCUAGUAGCUGGUUCCCUCCGAAGUUUCUCUCAGGAUAGCGGGCCGACGAUGUGGGUUGUUUUGUGU